RNAcentral lists this ribosomal RNA (468 nucleotides) under uncultured bacterium. RNAcentral's name for it is "partial 16S ribosomal RNA". It matches the Rfam family "Bacterial small subunit ribosomal RNA", at positions 28 to 507 of the family's 1533-position model. The record is from RNAcentral.
GACGAACGCUGGCGGCGUGCUUAACACAUGCAAGUCGAACGGAAAGGCCCUGCUUUUGUGGGGUGCUCGAGUGGCGAACGGGUGAGUAACACGUGAGUAACCUGCCCUUGACUUUGGGAUAACUUCAGGAAACUGGGGCUAAUACCGGAUAGGAGCUCCUGCUGCAUGGUGGGGGUUGGAAAGUUUCGGCGGUUGGGGAUGGACUCGCGGCUUAUCAGCUUGUUGGUGGGGUAGUGGCUUACCAAGGCUUUGACGGGUAGCCGGCCUGGGAGGGUGACCGGCGACAUUGGUACUGCGAUACGGCGCAGACUCCUACGGGAGGCAGCGGUCGAGAAUAUUGCACAAUGGGCGGAAGCCUGAUGCAGCAACGCCGCGUGCGUGAUGCCGGCCUUCGGGUUGUAAACCGCUUUCGCCUGUGACGAAGCGUUAGUGACGGUAAUGGGUAAAGAAGCACCGGCUAACUACGUG